CCAAGGAGUCUAACAUGUGCGCGAGUCAUUGGGGAUCUCUCGAGACCCACAGGCACAAUGAAAGUGAAAUACGUUGAUGACGGGGAGGGGGUCAUUGACUUGCACUUGCCUCCCCCGAAACUAGGCGGGAUCCGUCCGGGAAUAACAGAGAAAAGGGCAACUAGUUUGUCUUUGGAUUGAAUCCCGGCGGCGCACCGCCGGCCCGUCGCAACCGCUAAGAGGAUUCCAGGGAGUAAAAUUCUUGGUUUCUUUUGUUUGACUGCCGGUGCGGCGGAGCAAGAGCGUACACGUUGGGACCCGAAAGAUGGUGAUCUAUGCCUGGGCAGGACGAAGCCAGAGGAAACUCUGGUGGAGGUCCGUAGCGAUUCUGACGUGCAAAUCGAUCGUCGGACCUGGGUAUAGGGGCGAAAGACUAAUCGAACCGUCUA
Molecule: ribosomal RNA, 428 nt
Filed under: Paralamyctes neverneverensis
Lineage: Eukaryota; Metazoa; Arthropoda; Chilopoda; Lithobiomorpha; Henicopidae
Description: eukaryotic LSU rRNA
Rfam family: Eukaryotic large subunit ribosomal RNA
Source: RNAcentral